Molecule: non-coding RNA, 1434 nt
Organism: Manis javanica (Malayan pangolin)
Lineage: Eukaryota; Metazoa; Chordata; Mammalia; Pholidota; Manidae
Source: RefSeq, a predicted model, not a curated record
UUCCAGACUGUUAGCUGUGGGUAUCGCAAAGCACCCAUGACAAUUUUGUACCUGUCAAGGAUAUAAUGCAUUGUCCCAGCAUUUGUAAUAACAGCUACUAUGCAUAUUGAAUGCAUAACUUCAGACAGUACGUCAGUCUUCUUUUUCAUCUCAUUUCAGAAAUUCUUUUUUUUUUCCUAGCAAAGAGAGAUUGAAAAAUAAUAGGGUCUUCUCCUCAAGUCUGCAAUAGCAGUUGCGAUAUCAGUGUUUUCUUCAAAUAAAUUUAGAGCUUAAAAGAUAAGAAUUGGAGACAGAGCGAGAGAGUUGUUGGUUAUUCUUACAGCCAUAAUAAAAUAUCCCCUGGGUUCGCCUUUUCCUGCAAAUUUAAAUUGUGUUCAAAGAACACAGAGAGAGAUGUGAAAUGAGACGUCUUUACUAAAUCAUUGAUGACCUGAGGUCAGCAAGAGGUAGACUUUUAAUUGCUUAUUUAUUAAAUUUCUGGCAGUUGAUCUCUGGAUUGCUUCGUACCACAAGUCAGAUUGUUAAUUAAAUCUGUGUAAAAGUUUUGGUUUUAUCUAUAAAAACUCUCCUACAGGUUUCACACGUGUCUAAAUUGGGCUGAAUGUGUGAGCGGCGAAGCCUAUUUAUUGAGAGCCAGCCAGCAGCACCGUUUCGAGUAUUUUUGCCAGCAGCUGUUCUACCUUAGGCUGGGAUUUCAUGAAAAGACACUUGCCGGAGUCAUUGCUGCAGCAACCACGCCGCCAGCUCCGCCUGAAGUGGAUGUGGUUUGUUUAGAAGACAGCACUCUUCCCCGAGUCCAGUUUAUGCACCCCGAUGGGCUGAGAAACUAUGCACCCGCCGUUGUUUAUCACGAGGAAUGGCUCUAAAGACUUCAUGUGGUCCCUGUGUACAGGAAGAGGCUGACAAACUGCGGCCGGUGAAGACAGAAUGGGGAAAUCCAGCGGAAAGAGGCUUUGCAAGGAGCUGCAGAUUCAUUGUGGGUAAUCGGGCCCAGAGAGAGCAACGAAUUGUAUAAAUGCAAACGAAUAUGUCUGCAUUUUGAUGCCACCCCCGCCCUCAGGCCAUGCAGAGACUGAGGAACCGCUGCCCUCUUCUAUUACUCUGGCCUGACCCUAAGGACUUCUCUGUCUGGUUUAAUCACCCUGACAAGAAUUUCCAAAUUCCAAGAAAUGUUUGUUUCAGGUGGAGAGAAAAGGAAAUCAUAUGUUCAAGAAGCAUGAUUUUAUUCUGAGUUCUUUUUACAGUUAUCUGGACCAUUAAAUUUUGUUGUGCAGUAUUAGUUCAAUUGCAUUGUGAUUGGAUAUUAUUUUUCAGGGGGAAUGGAUGAAAUCAAGGAUCUUAACAAAAAUCAAUCUGUUUAUGUAUUUAUUUGUGUUCUAAGGGGUUAGUUAAUUUCUUCUUCUUCCUAGAACUUCUUCAUUUCUUCUCUUGGGA